GCAGUAGCCGCGGUAAUACGAAGGGGGCUAGCGUUGCUCGGAAUUACUGGGCGUAAAGGGCGCGUAGGCGGCGCUCCAAGUUAGGCGUGAAAUUCCCGGGCUCAACCUGGGGACUGCGCUUAAGACUGGAGUGCUUGAGGAUGGAAGAGGGUUGUGGAAUUCCCAGUGUAGAGGUGAAAUUCGUAGAUACUGGAUGGAACACCGGUGGCGAAAGCGGCUCUCUGGCCCGGAUCUGACGCUGAGGCGCGAAAGCGUGGGGAGCAAACAGGAUUAGAUACCCCUGUAGUCCCUGUCUCUUAUAA
Molecule: ribosomal RNA, 302 nt
Filed under: uncultured bacterium
Lineage: Bacteria
Description: partial 16S ribosomal RNA
Rfam family: Bacterial small subunit ribosomal RNA
Source: RNAcentral